Long non-coding RNA from Limulus polyphemus (Atlantic horseshoe crab), 297 nucleotides. RefSeq lists it as uncharacterized. The transcript is spliced from 2 exons. NCBI's taxonomy places the organism in Eukaryota, Metazoa, Arthropoda, Merostomata, Xiphosura, Limulidae. The record is from RefSeq and is a predicted model, not a curated record.
UUCCUCCGUAAUAAUGAUGAAAAAGUUUCAGAAGUAACAUCUUGUGCGUUAGAAAUUGGUAUAUUUGGUCACACUAUAAUAGAUGAAAGCAUGCAUCAACGAGGAAUUCAAAGGUUUGGUGUCUGUUCAAGAUGGUUUCGAAUAAAGCGGUUGCUUUAUAUUAUGGUUGAUACUCCAACAGUAAGAAGAAAAACGACUCAAUUAGAAAAAGCUUAUUCAAAAUACUCGCUUCAUCCAGAUACGUUUCUUGAUGCCAAGGAACUGUACCAGUAUAUUCUGUCCAGGAUUACAGAUAUU